Molecule: ribosomal RNA, 200 nt
Filed under: uncultured bacterium
Lineage: Bacteria
Description: partial 16S ribosomal RNA
Rfam family: Bacterial small subunit ribosomal RNA
Source: RNAcentral
GACGAACGCUGGCGGCGUGCUUAACACAUGCAAGUCGAGCGGUAAGGCCCUUCGGGUACGACGAGCGGCGAACGGGUGAGUAACACGUGGGUGACCUGCCCUCCACUUCGGGAUAAGCCUGGGAAACCGGGUCUAAUACCGGAUAGGACCUCUGGAUGCAUGUCUGGUGGUGGAUAGUCUGUGUCUUGACUGAUGCUGGC